GGGUGCUAAGGCAAGUUUCAUUUCAGCUUGUUCUGAGAAGUUCAAGGUCACCUGUGCCAAACCAGUGGGCUUUAGUUCUCCAUCUUUGAGGAGGGCUCAGCACAAAUCCAGCCUCAUUCCCAAUAAUAAAAUCCCCAGUGGCAGCAGGACCACGCUGGUUUGGAAGUGUAUGUGGUGGUAUACGGGCCGACAGCAUGAGGACUCUCCUGCUUGUCCCAGUCACAUACAGGCUGGUGCCUGCUCUGCCUUGGCUCAGUUUGAGUGAGCAGAGGGGCUUGUCAAACAGGAAGAUUUGGGCACUAGGUAGUGACUACUUUGAACACAAAUGUUACUUGUGCAUACAAUAUGAAAACUACUGAUUUAAAGCAUGGGUGCAGUGGCCUCAAGCCCAUAGGUUGGGUAAAACUGGUAGGCAUAUACAGCUGAAGUUGCUUUUGCUCUCUUUGGAUUUAUAUUUCCUGUAUAAUCAGGUUGUAUUACCUAUGUGUAUAACUGUUCAUUACCUAGUCCUUCUUAGCAGCAUCACAGAACCUAUGGUUGUAAAUAGCUGGUAAGCACCUUCAAAAAAGAACUGAACCUGUUCCAAUGCACACCCUCCAGCUUUGCCUAGGAAUAAAGAUUCCCUGCCUCCUGGAGGAGAUGGGGGAGUCUGUCUUCCUUUUAAACUCAUAGGCAAAGAUAUUGAAAAAUGCCACAUGAUUUUGGAAACCACAGUGGUUGAAGAUCACUGUAGAGGCACUGUUAAACUAUUUCGCAAGCCAAGAAAAAAGACCUCUGAUCCUGGGCAGCAGGUACAAAAGAGAAGACAGAAGGAGACAGCCAGUGCUUUGGCAAGCCGGGAACCCAUAUGCAAGGCAAAGAGAGUAAGAAAAGGAGCAGAGAUGCUGGCACAUGCAAGUUCAUUUAAUUGCCCUGGUACAUUCAAUUUAUACCCAGACCUUUGACCACAUUUGUAAUCUAGGUUGGUUUGUUGCACGCUGUCAUUGCACAGCUGUUAUUGCAUGGGGGUUGGUUUUAAGCUUUCUUCUUUCUAACAUUUGUAAUGCUCUGUCUUGACUUUUGAAUGGUCAGGAAGAUUUGGACUACUUGUCUGGGCUUUUUCCUUGAUAGGGAGGAAGAGUGGAGUCUAUUUUCAAAAUCUCAUAAGUUAUUUACACCCUUGGACAGGAUUUGGAUGGCAAAGCUGACGCUAAUAGCAGGUGCAGAUCUAUUUUGAGAGCUACAGCAAGAUCAGCACUGUCUCUCAGCAUCUCCAGCCAACAUCAGUUGAUUCUCUGCCCAAAGCAUCCCAUGACACUGCGAUUCAGAGUCCUAACUCUUCUGCAGCACAAAACGGGGCCCCACUGCAGAGAACAUGAGCUUGGCACGCCACUUGGAAAUGAUUUCUCUCCCAUGUAUCCAGCCACCUGGCUCGGCUGUCGAUGAAACUUGGCAAUAAAUUCCUUGACAUCCCGUUAUAAUUUUAUGAGCUGGUUGAGACUGUCAUAUUCCAUUAGCUCCUGACAAGCCUCCAUGCAGGGAGGAGCACAAGCCUGUGUCUGUUGGUCACCUAUGUGAAAUGCUGGAGAUAAGCAGGUUUCCCCACUGCAGUGUCUAGCUGACUGCAGAUACAAUAAUCACUUCACUCAGCACCGCACAGGAACCACCCUUGGCAAGGCCAUGGCGGCUGUCAAGCAGCACAUCAGGAAUUGCUGCUCCAGUUCAACACAUCAUGAGGGCAUUUGUGCAGCAGGAGGAGCCAGUUAACUGAUCUGGAACUAGCAUCAAAGUGUUAACAAGCCCCAGCAGAGUUGCUGAAGUUACCUCCAAGUGACAUAUUCAAGCACUGGAAAGCUCCACAAAGUUUGUGCGAGAGCAAAGGAAGCAUGAGGAAGGAGAGGGCCAGGCCUCUCCACCCCAAAGUGAGAGCACUGCAAAAACAAAACCUGGCACCCAGGCUGCGGCUGACUGAAAGCAUCUUUCAUUUGUGCAUUAAAGCCAACGAAUCCCUGGCCUCAUCUCUCCCAGCUUACCCUCGGCAUCAGCCGGCGUGCCAGAAAAGUAUGGGCCAUAGGAAAAUAAACUGUGUAUGUAUGAAUAACUCUGAUCUACCAGAAGCUAAUACCAAUUAAAACGUCUCACUUGUAUCUGA
This is a long non-coding RNA of Pezoporus flaviventris, 2131 nucleotides long. RefSeq lists it as uncharacterized. The transcript is spliced from 7 exons. The record is from RefSeq and is a predicted model, not a curated record. Lineage: Eukaryota; Metazoa; Chordata; Aves; Psittaciformes; Psittacidae.